CGUGUUUUAUAGCCCAGAAUGUGGCCCAUCUGGGGAAUGUUGCAUACCCUCUUGAAAAGAACAUCAAUUCUUCGGUUGUUGGGUAUUCUAUGAAACAAACAGAAAACAAGUAGCAAAUGGAAGCCUUAAAUUUAAACAUAUCAAUAAUUACACUAAAUGUGACACUGACUCCUCUGCCUCCCUCUUCCAUUGAUGAGGACCCUUGUGAUUACAGUGGGCCCAUCCAGAUGACCC
Pan troglodytes (chimpanzee) is the source of this 234-nucleotide long non-coding RNA. RefSeq lists it as uncharacterized. The transcript has 3 exons. The record is from RefSeq and is a predicted model, not a curated record. Lineage: Eukaryota; Metazoa; Chordata; Mammalia; Primates; Hominidae.